UCUCUAUGAUGAAGAACCUAAGCUCACUUUGAACCACUGUGAAAAUGUAUGAACACCUGAGAGAC
Molecule: small nucleolar RNA, 65 nt
Organism: Pygocentrus nattereri (red-bellied piranha)
Lineage: Eukaryota; Metazoa; Chordata; Actinopteri; Characiformes; Serrasalmidae
Source: Ensembl